ACUUUAACUUACGCCAGCCCACCUCCAAGUGAUAUGACCCCGCCCUGUCUACAGUAAGAACCUUACAGGACACAAUUGGAAACAUUAUUUAAUUCCCAAGACUUUGACUGGAAGGUAUUAUUUGAGAAUGUGCAUAGACUCAGAUAUGACCAGACAGUUUGGAAAACCAACCUAGUAGCCUGUUUACAGGGUUCCUGGCAGCCUUAUCAGAAACACCUCUUAUUAAAAACCUGUUGCAAGUAUGUGCACCAGGUAGGCCUAACUUGGGGACCCUACCUGCAUCGCCACUUCCUGAAAUGAGACACAGCCUCUCAUUGAACUGACCUGCUCUCGGGACUAAGAGAGGGUUCAAUGAGAUAAAGACCACCCAGUAACUCAGGACAGGUUCAAACCUUCGUACACCAGGUGGCCAAGACAAUAAAGUAGUUCACAGUGCCACCCAGAUCUUUGACCUGAUUUUUCGGGCCCCCAAGGUCACUGACUUAGUUUUAUCGCAGGACACUUCAAAUCUGGGACAGUGGAUACAGACUAGAUUUCAGACUACCGUCUGUGUAUUUAUUAUAGGAUUUGUGACUAGAAUCCUAUUUAGAUAUGUGCUUUCUGAGUUACAGUGCACCCUACCCCUGACUUAGCACAUCAGCUACCGAGGCAGUUACGUUCUCACCAUCCUCACCUUUGACUGAUGGCUUGGCGUCACAGGGGGGGUG
Non-coding RNA from Kogia breviceps (pygmy sperm whale), 707 nucleotides. NCBI's taxonomy places the organism in Eukaryota, Metazoa, Chordata, Mammalia, Artiodactyla, Physeteridae. The record is from RefSeq and is a predicted model, not a curated record.